AUACGUAGGUGGCAAGCGUUAUUCGGAAUUACUGGGCGUAAAGCGCACGCAGGCGGCCAGUCAAGUCUGACGUGAAAGCUCCUGGCUUAACUGGGAGAGGUCGUUGGAAACUGAUUGGCUUGAGGCAAUGAGAGGGACACGGAAUUCCCGGUGUAGUGGUGGAAUGCGUAGAUAUCGGGAGGAACACCAGUGGCGAAAGCGGUGUCCUGGCAUUGACCUGACGCUCAUGUGCGAAAGCGUGGGGAGCGAACGGGAUUAGAUACCCCGGUAGUCC
This 274-nucleotide ribosomal RNA is filed under the name uncultured bacterium. RNAcentral describes it as "partial 16S ribosomal RNA". It matches the Rfam family "Bacterial small subunit ribosomal RNA", at positions 523 to 796 of the family's 1533-position model. The record is from RNAcentral.